UUGAAAGGGAAACGAUUGAAGUCAGUCAUGCUGGUGGGAAUCAACUUAGGGGAAACUCUGUGUGCACUUCUUCGCUUGGCAGGUCAACGUCGAUUUUGAAUGUCAUAAAAUAAUUGGGGAAGGUAGCUCCUUCGGGAGUGUUAUAGCCCUUGAUAGAUGUGAUGUUUGAGGUCGAGGAUUGCAACGGAUACCCUUUGGGGCUAGCUGCCUGAUCUCUAAUUGGUGUUGGGUUACGGAUAGCAUGCUGACCGUGAUCUAAUUACUGGUUAAAAGGUUAGAGUAUGCAUAAAUUCGUUAAGGAUGUUGACGUA
This 311-nucleotide ribosomal RNA is filed under the name uncultured Glomeromycotina. RNAcentral's name for it is "LSU rRNA". The record is from RNAcentral. Lineage: Eukaryota; Fungi; Glomeromycota.